UUAAAACAUGGAUUAGAUACCCGUCUAUUCAUGAUCUAAAAUACUAGUCGAAUAUUACGAACCACAGUUUAAAAUUCAAAGAUCUUGGCGGUGUCUUAUAAAACCAGGGGAACCUGUCUCAUAACUCGAUAAUCCACGAUUACCCAACCUUCUCUAGAAACCCAGCUUGUAUACUGCCGUUGUAAGCAUACCUUUAAAAGAAUAAGUGUGCUACUAUGAUCAAGCAACAACUUGACUCAUAUACAUCAGGUCGAAGUGCAGUCAAUGAAAAGGAGCUGAUGGGUUACAACCUAAAAAAAGACAUGAAUUAAGAAAUAAAAAAUUUUAUGAAAGUGGACUUGACUGUAAUUAAACAGCAUAUUAAAAAAAUGAAAACAAAUCUAAGACAUGUACACAUCGCCCUCACUUAAACCGAGUAAAUG
RNAcentral lists this ribosomal RNA (422 nucleotides) under Plutellus sp. 4 PK-2012. RNAcentral describes it as "partial 12S ribosomal RNA". Lineage: Eukaryota; Metazoa; Annelida; Clitellata; Crassiclitellata; Megascolecidae. The record is from RNAcentral.